RNAcentral lists this ribosomal RNA (234 nucleotides) under uncultured Actinomycetales bacterium. RNAcentral describes it as "partial 16S ribosomal RNA". It matches the Rfam family "Bacterial small subunit ribosomal RNA", at positions 96 to 334 of the family's 1533-position model. Lineage: Bacteria; Bacillati; Actinomycetota; Actinomycetes; Actinomycetales. The record is from RNAcentral.
UGGCGAACGGGUGAGUAACACGUGGGUGAUCUGCCUUGCACUCUGGGAUAAGCUUGGGAAACUGGGUCUAAUACCGGAUAGGAACCGUCUUUAGUGUGAUGGUUGGAAAGUUUUUCGGUGUAGGAUGAGCUCGCGGCCUAUCAGCUUGUUGGUGGGGUAAUGGCCUACCAAGGCGGCGACGGGUAGCCGGCCUGAGAGGGUGGACGGCCACAUUGGGACUGAGAUACGGCCCAG